UACAGAGGUCUCAAGCGUUGUUCGGAUUCAUUGGGCUUAAAGGGUGCGUAGGUGGUGGGGUAAGUCGGAUGUGAAAUCCCGGGGCUCAACCCCGGAACUGCAUUCGAUACUUCCUUGCUCGAGUACUGGAGAGGAGACUGGAAUUUACGGUGUAGCAGUGAAAUGCGUAGAUAUCGUAAGGAAGACCAGUGGCGAAGGCGAGUCUCUGGACAGUUACUGACACUGAGGCACGAAAGCGUGGGGAUCAAACAGG
This 253-nucleotide ribosomal RNA is filed under the name uncultured bacterium. Its description in RNAcentral is "partial 16S ribosomal RNA". It matches the Rfam family "Bacterial small subunit ribosomal RNA", at positions 524 to 776 of the family's 1533-position model. The record is from RNAcentral.